Molecule: ribosomal RNA, 1211 nt
Filed under: metagenome
Description: bacterial LSU rRNA
Rfam family: Bacterial large subunit ribosomal RNA
Source: RNAcentral
GCCCCCGUAACUUCGGGAGAAGGGGGGCCGAGCCUGUCUAGAGAUUUACUCUCAACGGCGGGUGAGGCCGCAGAGACCAGGCCCAGGCGACUGUUUACUAAAAACACAGGUCCGUGCUAAGUCGUAAGACGACGUAUACGGACUGACGCCUGCCCGGUGCUGGAACGUUAAGGGGAAGUGUUAGGGCAACCGAAGCACUGAACUUAAGCGCCAGUAAACGGCGGUGGUAACUAUAACCAUCCUAAGGUAGCGAAAUUCCUUGUCGGGUAAGUUCCGACCUGCACGAAUGGCGUAACGACUUGGGCGCUGUCUCGACCACGGACUCGGCGAAAUUGCACUACGAGUAAAGAUGCUCGUUACGCGCAGCAGGACGGAAAGACCCCGGGACCUUUACUAUAGUUUGGUAUUGGUGUUCGGUACAGCUUGUGUAGGAUAGGUGGGAGACUUUGAAGCGGCCACGCCAGUGGUUGUGGAGUCAACGUUGAAAUACCACUCUGGCUGUUCUGGAUAUCUAACCUAGGUCCGUUAUCCGGAUCAGGGACAGUGCCUGAUGGGUAGUUUGACUGGGGCGGUCGCCUCCUAAAAGGUAACGGAGGCGCCCAAAGGUUCCCUCAGCCUGGUUGGCAAUCAGGUUUCGAGUGUAAGUGCACAAGGGAGCUUGACUGUGAGAGAGACAUCUCAAGCAGGGACGAAAGUCGGGACUAGUGAUCUGACGGUGGCACGUGGAAGCGCCGUCACUCAACGGAUAAAAGGUACCCCGGGGAUAACAGGCUGAUCUUGCCCGAGCGUCCAUAGCGACUGCAUGGUUUGGCACCUCGAUGUCGGCUCGUCGCAUCCUGGGGCUGGAGUCGGUCCCAAGGGUUGGGCUGUUCGCCCAUUAAAGCGGCACGCGAGCUGGGUUUAGAACGUCGUGAGACAGUUCGGUCCCUAUCCGCUGCGCGCGUAGGAGUCUUGAAGAGGGCUGUCCUUAGUACGAGAGGACCGGGACGGACGAACCUCUGGUGUGCCAGUUGUCCUGCCAAGGGCACGGCUGGUUGGCUACGUUCGGAAGUGAUAACCGCUGAAAGCAUCUAAGCGGGAAGCACGCUCCAAGAUGAUGGCUCCCACAGGGUAACCUGGUAAGGCCCCCAGCAGAUCACUGGGUGAUAGGUCGGAUGUGGAAGUGCAGCAAUGCACGGAGCUGACCGAUACUAAUAGGCCGAGGGCUUGUC